This 2906-nucleotide ribosomal RNA is filed under the name Klebsiella oxytoca. RNAcentral's name for it is "23S ribosomal RNA". It matches the Rfam family "Bacterial large subunit ribosomal RNA". Lineage: Bacteria; Pseudomonadati; Pseudomonadota; Gammaproteobacteria; Enterobacterales; Enterobacteriaceae. The record is from RNAcentral.
GGUUAAGCGACUAAGCGUACACGGUGGAUGCCCUGGCAGUCAGAGGCGAUGAAGGACGUGCUAAUCUGCGAAAAGCGUCGGUAAGGUGAUAUGAACCGUUAUAACCGGCGAUGUCCGAAUGGGGAAACCCAGUGCAAUUCGUUGCACUAUCGUUAACUGAAUACAUAGGUUAACGAGGCGAACCGGGGGAACUGAAACAUCUAAGUACCCCGAGGAAAAGAAAUCAACCGAGAUUCCCCCAGUAGCGGCGAGCGAACGGGGAGCAGCCCGGAGUCUGAAUCAGCUUGUGUGUUAGUGGAAGCGUCUGGAAAGUCGCAGGGUACAGGGUGAUACUCCCGUACACUAAAACACACAGGUUGUGAACUCGAAGAGUAGGGCGGGACACGUGGUAUCCUGUCUGAAUAUGGGGGGACCAUCCUCCAAGGCUAAAUACUCCUGACUGACCGAUAGUGAACCAGUACCGUGAGGGAAAGGCGAAAAGAACCCCGGCGAGGGGAGUGAAAAAGAACCUGAAACCGUGUACGUACAAGCAGUAGGAGCCCACUAGUUGGGUGACUGCGUACCUUUUGUAUAAUGGGUCAGCGACUUAUAUUCUGUAGCAAGGUUAACCGUAUAGGGGAGCCGCAGGGAAACCGAGUCUUAACUGGGCGUUAAGUUGCAGGGUAUAGACCCGAAACCCGGUGAUCUAGCCAUGGGCAGGUUGAAGGUUGGGUAACACUAACUGGAGGACCGAACCGACUAAUGUUGAAAAAUUAGCGGAUGACUUGUGGCUGGGGGUGAAAGGCCAAUCAAACCGGGAGAUAGCUGGUUCUCCCCGAAAGCUAUUUAGGUAGCGCCUCGUGAACUCAUCUUCGGGGGUAGAGCACUGUUUCGGCUAGGGGGUCAUCCCGACUUACCAACCCGAUGCAAACUACGAAUACCGAAGAAUGUUAUCACGGGAGACACACGGCGGGUGCUAACGUCCGUCGUGAAGAGGGAAACAACCCAGACCGCCAGCUAAGGUCCCAAAGUCAUGGUUAAGUGGGAAACGAUGUGGGAAGGCCCAGACAGCCAGGAUGUUGGCUUAGAAGCAGCCAUCAUUUAAAGAAAGCGUAAUAGCUCACUGGUCGAGUCGGCCUGCGCGGAAGAUGUAACGGGGCUAAACCAUGCACCGAAGCUGCGGCAGCGACACUAUGUGUUGUUGGGUAGGGGAGCGUUCUGUAAGCCGUUGAAGGUGGCCUGUGAGGGUUGCUGGAGGUAUCAGAAGUGCGAAUGCUGACAUAAGUAACGAUAAUGCGGGUGAAAAACCCGCACGCCGGAAGACCAAGGGUUCCUGUCCAACGUUAAUCGGGGCAGGGUGAGUCGACCCCUAAGGCGAGGCCGAAAGGCGUAGUCGAUGGGAAACAGGUUAAUAUUCCUGUACUUGGUGUUACUGCGAAGGGGGGACGGAGAAGGCUAUGUUGGCCGGGCGACGGUUGUCCCGGUUUAAGCAUGUAGGCGGAUGUUCCAGGUAAAUCCGGAACGUUACUAACGCUGAGGUGUGAUGACGAGGCACUACGGUGCUGAAGUGACAAAUGCCCUGCUUCCAGGAAAAGCCUCUAAGCAUCAGGUAACAUCAAAUCGUACCCCAAACCGACACAGGUGGUCAGGUAGAGAAUACCAAGGCGCUUGAGAGAACUCGGGUGAAGGAACUAGGCAAAAUGGUGCCGUAACUUCGGGAGAAGGCACGCUGAUGGUAAGUGAAGCGACUUGCUCACGGAGCUGAAAUCAGUCGAAGAUACCAGCUGGCUGCAACUGUUUAUUAAAAACACAGCACUGUGCAAACACGAAAGUGGACGUAUACGGUGUGACGCCUGCCCGGUGCCGGAAGGUUAAUUGAUGGGGUUAUCCUCGCGGAGAAGCUCUUGAUCGAAGCCCCGGUAAACGGCGGCCGUAACUAUAACGGUCCUAAGGUAGCGAAAUUCCUUGUCGGGUAAGUUCCGACCUGCACGAAUGGCGUAAUGAUGGCCAGGCUGUCUCCACCCGAGACUCAGUGAAAUUGAACUCGCUGUGAAGAUGCAGUGUACCCGCGGCAAGACGGAAAGACCCCGUGAACCUUUACUAUAGCUUGACACUGAACACUGGUCCUUGAUGUGUAGGAUAGGUGGGAGGCUUUGAAGUGUGGACGCCAGUCUGCAUGGAGCCAUCCUUGAAAUACCACCCUUUAAUGGCUGGUGUUCUAACGUGGGCCCGUGAUCCGGGUUGCGGACAGUGUCUGGUGGGUAGUUUGACUGGGGCGGUCUCCUCCUAAAGAGUAACGGAGGAGCACGAAGGUCAGCUAAUCCUGGUCGGACAUCAGGAGGUUAGUGCAAUGGCAUAAGCUGGCUUGACUGCGAGCGUGACGGCGCGAGCAGGUGCGAAAGCAGGUCAUAGUGAUCCGGUGGUUCUGAAUGGAAGGGCCAUCGCUCAACGGAUAAAAGGUACUCCGGGGAUAACAGGCUGAUACCGCCCAAGAGUUCAUAUCGACGGCGGUGUUUGGCACCUCGAUGUCGGCUCAUCACAUCCUGGGGCUGAAGUAGGUCCCAAGGGUAUGGCUGUUCGCCAUUUAAAGUGGUACGCGAGCUGGGUUUAGAACGUCGUGAGACAGUUCGGUCCCUAUCUGCCGUGGGCGCUGGAGAAUUGAGGGGGGCUGCUCCUAGUACGAGAGGACCGGAGUGGACGCAUCACUGGUGUUCGGGUUGUCAUGCCAAUGGCAUUGCCCGGUAGCUAAAUGCGGAAGAGAUAAGUGCUGAAAGCAUCUAAGCACGAAACUUGCCCCGAGAUGAGUUCUCCCUGACUCCUUGAGAGUCCUGAAGGAACGUUGAAGACGACGACGUUGAUAGGCCGGGUGUGUAAGCGCAGCGAUGCGUUGAGCUAACCGGUACUAAUGAACCGUGAGGCUUAACCUU